This is a long non-coding RNA of Ostrea edulis (European flat oyster), 1033 nucleotides long. RefSeq lists it as uncharacterized. Lineage: Eukaryota; Metazoa; Mollusca; Bivalvia; Ostreida; Ostreidae. The transcript has 4 exons. The record is from RefSeq and is a predicted model, not a curated record.
AAUCAUAUGUUUACCAUACGUGAAACAUAUGAUUUUAUCGUCAUAUAGUGAACAUAUGUUUGAAACAUAUGUUGAACCUACUGCAAACUUCAAACGUGAUUAACACAAGUUGAAUAAUUCAUGUGUUUAACAUAUAUUCAACAUAUGAUAAACAUGAAAUUUUGAACAUAUGAUUAACUUAAGAUCAAAAGGGGGUGGGGGGUCUAUAUUCUGUACAGAGUUUUGUUGUUAGAAUAUCCCCACUCCUCAAAAUCGCUGCUACUGGCCAAGGAAUUGUUUUACAAAAGAACUUACAACUAAGACCAAAAAUGUUACAGAGUUUUAAAAACUCGUCAACUUAAUUCUUAAGAUUACAUUUAUAAAUGAAAAUUUACAUAACUUAAUUCUUCUUCAUGUUUUGAAAAUUCACAAGAUUUUGACACAAUCUAAGCACACAGGUUUUAUAGUAUAAUAGAAACUCUUUGGACUUUCUAGUAGUAACUUCUAUUAUAUGACAUAGUCGUUUUCUAUAAUAUAUAUAUAUAUACCAAAUAUGACGUAAAAUUAUUGUGUAUUACGUUUCUCGCUCCCGAAAAAAGGCUUGCAAAGUCCGUGCAAUUAAAGCAUCGCUGUAACUAAGAAGAUUCAUAGCACUUGCGUGUACUGACAGACAAUCGAUCAUGUCAAGGAGAGCGGAGAAAGACUUCCUAGCAAUGAUAAAGAAGUUCCGAACAAGCUGCUCGUGGUUGUGAAGAUGCAACUGUUUGCCCAAAACAUCACUAGAUCUACAGGACAAAGUCGUGGAAGAUUUACAACAAUGUGAAUAAGUAGACAGCAAGAAAAUUUAUACAGAGGGAUUUGCAAUCAAGCAGCCACUACCACGGGGCGUGGAUUAAAGUUACUCACAAAAUAUUCCUCCCAACAACAGCUACUGACAGAAAAAGAACAUGCUGGUGCAGCACACACUGAAUAUCAACUAUUUAUUCAGGGACAUAAAUAAAUGCUGGUUCCUUCCGAUACGAUUUGUUUUCUUGUUUUCUGGAGAGGUACUUCG